Molecule: ribosomal RNA, 482 nt
Filed under: uncultured Massilia sp.
Lineage: Bacteria; Pseudomonadati; Pseudomonadota; Betaproteobacteria; Burkholderiales; Oxalobacteraceae
Description: partial 16S ribosomal RNA
Source: RNAcentral
CACGUAGUUAGCCGGUGCUUAUUCUUCAGGUACCGUCAUUAGCGCAGAGUAUUAAUCCGCACCGUUUCUUCCCUGACAAAAGAGCUUUACAACCCGAAGGCCUUCUUCACUCACGCGGCAUUGCUGGAUCAGGCUUGCGCCCAUUGUCCAAAAUUCCCCACUGCUGCCUCCCGUAGGAGUCUGGACCGUGUCUCAGUUCCAGUGUGGCUGGUCGUCCUCUCAGACCAGCUACUGAUCGUCGCCUUGGUGAGCCUUUACCUCACCAACUAGCUAAUCAGAUAUCGGCCGCUCCAGGAGCAUGAGGUCUUGCGAUCCCCCACUUUCAUCCAUAGAUCGUAUGCGGUAUUAGCGUAACUUUCGCUACGUUAUCCCCCACUCUUGGGUACGUUCCGAUAUAUUACUCACCCGUUCGCCACUCGCCGCCAGGUUGCCCCGCGCUGCCGUUCGACUUGCAUGUGUAAAGCAUGCCGCCAGCGUUCAAU